AAGCAUUAUACAGCGAAACUGCGAAUGGCUCAUUAUAUAAGUUAUCGUUUAUUUGAUAGUACCUUACUACUUGGAUAACCGUGGUAAUUCUAGAGGCUAAUACAAUGCUAAAAAUCCCGACUUCGGAAGGGAUGUAUUUAUUAGAUUAAAAACCAAUGCCCUCUGGGCUCCUUGGUGAUUCAUAAUAACUUUUCGAAUCGCAUGGCCUUGCGCCGGCGAUGGUUCAUUCAAAUUUCUUCCCUAUCAACUUUCGAUGUUUGGGUAUUGGCCAAACAUGGUCGCAACGGGUAACGGAGGGUUAGGGCUCGACCCCGGAGAAGGAGCCUGAGAAACGGCUACUACAUCCAAGGAAGGCAGCAGGCGCGCAAAUUACCCAAUCCCGAUUCGGGGAGGUAGUGACAAUAAAUACUGAUACAGGGCUCUUUUGGGUCUUGUAAUUGGAAUGAGUACAAUUUAAAUCUCUUAACGAGGAACAAUUGGAGGGCAAGUCUGGUGCCAGCAGCCGCGGUAAUUCCAGCUCCAAUAGCGUAUAUUAAAGUUGUUGUGGUUAAAAAGCUCGUAGUUGAACCUUGGGCCUGGCUGGCCGGUCCGCCUCACCGCGUGUACUGGUCCGGCCGGGCCUUUCCCUCUGUGGAACCCCAUGCCCUUCACUGGGUGUGGCGGGGAAACAGGACUUUUACUUUGAAAAAAUUAGAGUGCUCCAGGCAGGCCUAUGCUCGAAUACAUUAGCAUGGAAUAAUGAAAUAGGACGUGUGGUUCUAUUUUGUUGGUUUCUAGGACCGCCGUAAUGAUUAAUAGGGACAGUCGGGGGCAUCAGUAUUCAAUUGUCAGAGGUGAAAUUCUUGGAUUUAUUGAAGACUAACUACUGCGAAAGCAUUUGCCAAGGAUGUUUUCAUUAAUCAGGAACGAAAGUUAGGGGAUCGAAGACGAUCAGAUACCGUCGUAGUCUUAACCAUAAACUAUGCCGACUAGGGAUCGGACGAUGUUAUUUUUUGACGCGUUCGGCACCUUACGAGAAAUCAAAGUGCU
Molecule: ribosomal RNA, 1029 nt
Filed under: Gamszarella magnispora
Lineage: Eukaryota; Fungi; Ascomycota; Sordariomycetes; Hypocreales; Cordycipitaceae
Description: SSU rRNA
Rfam family: Eukaryotic small subunit ribosomal RNA
Source: RNAcentral